Molecule: long non-coding RNA, 249 nt
Filed under: Elaeis guineensis (African oil palm)
Lineage: Eukaryota; Viridiplantae; Streptophyta; Magnoliopsida; Arecales; Arecaceae
Description: long non-coding RNA (EGUI_LNC027148)
Source: RNAcentral
CCUAUAGGUCGUCAUUAACUUCAAAGUCAUGUAUGAGAAGAUGAUCUAUCUACUGAAGAAUAAAGAGGCUAGGGACGCCAAUCUAAUCAUUCUCUAAGAAGAGAAGAAAAAGAAGUCCGAACUCGUCAUCGGACUCAAACAUCAACUCGAGGAGAAGUUGAAGGCCUUGAAAGAAAAAAAUCAGAACUUACUGAACCUUCAGCAAAAAGUUAACAAGCCAGAGAAGAAGAUUUUUGCUAUACAUAUUGC